AUGCUGUCCCAGCUCAAGAUGCUCGCGGACGCCAUGUACCGAGGAUACUGGGCGAUGGACGCGUUCAAGUACAGAUCCCUCAAGGAGACUCUCAUGGCGGAUGAGGAGAAGGAGGAGGUUAGCAGCUCAUCAUCUCGUCUCAAACGUUCUCGUAUAAUUCACGGGAGUGCUAGAAAACACAAGGCAAGACACCUCAUGGAGUUUCAUGGUGCACUGGAAAGCCUAGAAAUUGCGGUUGCCAACAUCACAGAGUUUGUUGUGAUUUUGAGUGGAUAUGACCGUAUGGUGCGCAGACAAUAUGAUACAUAUCUUUACAUUGACAACUUUGUGUUUGGCCGCCAUUCUGAAAAGCAAAUGAUCUUGAGCUUCCUCUUGCAAGACAACCCUGCUGCUGCCGUGCCAACUGUUCUUCCAAUCAUUGGCGGUCUUGCGGUGGGGAAGAAAACUUUGGUUGCGCAUGUAUGCAAGGAUGAGAGGGUCUGCUCGCACUUCUCUUCAAUUAUGCGCUUGAAUGAAACCGAUUUUUAUACAAUAGCGGAUAGAGGAAGUGUCAUGUUAGGGACAGGGAGGAUAUUGAUAGUCGUUGAGAUUGAUUCAGAUGUGGAUGAAAAGGAUUGGGCCACAUUUUAUUCAUAUGUGGCAAGCAUGGAUGGAGGAAGCAAAGUGAUCAUCUUAAGUAGGCUUAAAAGGACGGAGAAAUUUGGAACUGUGAAUCCAAUUUUUCUCAAUGUCCUGACAUAUGAGGAGUUCAGCUACCUCUUCAAGGCACUCGCAUUCGGAAGUGCAAACCCGGGGGAACACCCGCAGUUAGUACAAAUAGCAGACAGGUUUGCCAGAGAGUUACAAUCGGGGUGGUCAAUUCUCGCAGCAAAUUUGUUUGCAGAUGUAAUGAGAACGAACCUGAAUGUUCAUUCCUGGCUUAGUAUAUUGAGCAGGUGCAGGAGACUAGUUGAUAGAAACCUCACCAUUUUUGGUGAGCAUCCAAAAUUGCGUCUUGAAAAAGGUCUUCCAAUAGACGUGACGGACAUGGUUCUGCGUCCUGCUUCUCCACUUCAGUUCAUUUGGAAUAUCUCAAACAAUGUUCCAGCAAAGGAAUUACCACAGGUGACCUUUACAGAGCUAUUAGUUGAUCUUAGGCCAAAGAUGCAGGCCACAGUAGUGAGAUUUGAAUCAAGAAUUCCACCUUAUACUACAUUUGAUCACAUUCUUUCAAGUUAUGCUCAAGAUACUCCUUAG
This 1236-nucleotide ribosomal RNA is filed under the name Triticum aestivum (bread wheat). Its description in RNAcentral is "partial small subunit ribosomal RNA". The record is from RNAcentral. Lineage: Eukaryota; Viridiplantae; Streptophyta; Magnoliopsida; Poales; Poaceae.